AAACGACUCUCGGCAACGGAUAUCUCGGCUCACGCAUCGAUGAAGAACGUAGCAAAAUGCGAUACUUGGUGUGAAUUGCAGAAUCCCGUGAACCAUCGAGUUUUUGAACGCAAGUUGCGCCCGAAGCCAUUCGGUUGAGGGCACGCCUGCCUGGGCGUCACGCA
This 164-nucleotide ribosomal RNA is filed under the name Askellia flexuosa. RNAcentral describes it as "5.8S ribosomal RNA". It matches the Rfam family "5.8S ribosomal RNA". From Rfam's summary of the family: 5.8S ribosomal RNA (5.8S rRNA) is a component of the large subunit of the eukaryotic ribosome. It is transcribed by RNA polymerase I as part of the 45S precursor that also contains 18S and 28S rRNA. Lineage: Eukaryota; Viridiplantae; Streptophyta; Magnoliopsida; Asterales; Asteraceae. The record is from RNAcentral.